GACGAACGCUGGCGGCGUGCUUAACACAUGCAAGUCGAACGGAAAGGCCCUGCUUUUGUGGGGUGCUCGAGUGGCGAACGGGUGAGUAACACGUGAGUAACCUGCCCUUGACUUUGGGAUAACUUCAGGAAACUGGGGCUAAUACCGGAUAGGAGCUCCUGCUGCAUGGUGGGGGUUGGAAAGUUUCGGCGGUUGGGGAUGGACUCGCGGCUUAUCAGCUUGUUGGUGGGGUAGUGGCUUACCAAGGCUUUGACGGGUAGCCGGCCUGAGAGGGUGACCGGCCACAUUGGGACUGAGAUACGGCCCAGACUCCUACGGGAGGCAGCAGUGGGGAAUAUUGCACAAUGGGCGGAAGCCUGAUGUAGCAACGCCGCGUGCGGGAUGACGGCCUUCGGGUUGUAAACCGCUUUCGCCUGUGACGAAGCGUGAGUGACGGUAAUGGGGAAAGAAGCACCGGCUAACUACGU
RNAcentral lists this ribosomal RNA (467 nucleotides) under uncultured bacterium. RNAcentral's name for it is "partial 16S ribosomal RNA". It matches the Rfam family "Bacterial small subunit ribosomal RNA", at positions 28 to 506 of the family's 1533-position model. The record is from RNAcentral.